AAUCAAAUGGCAUUAGAUUUAGAACAACUUCUAAAUCAUCGUGAGGAAUUGGCAGCAAUGAAACAGAUUCUCGUUAAGAUGCAUAGUAAACAUUCUGAGAACAGCUUACUUCUCACUAAAACAGAACCAAAACAUGUGACAGAAAAUCAGAAAUCAAAGACUUUGAAUGUGCCUAAAGAGCAUGAAGACAAUAUAUUUACACCUAAACCAACACUCUUUACUAAAAAAGAAGCACCUGAGUGGUCUAAGAAACAAAAGAUGAAGACCUAGUGUUUUGGAUGGGAAGCACCUGUAGACCAUUAUAUACUCCUGAAGUUCUUUUUCUGAUGGAAAACAAAAUUCAGCUUAAUCGUGUACUCAGCAUUUUUUAAAUAACAAUGUUUAUUUGAACUAAUAUUAAAUUAACAAAUUCAGUGUAAUCAAAAUGUGUAAAGAACAAUCAAUAUACUUUAUUUUUUUUUCUAUUUUAUAAAAUAAAUAUAUAUGCUAUGCUUUAAAUUUUGGAGCUUUCAUAAAUGUUCAAUGCAUUUU
Molecule: long non-coding RNA, 531 nt
Filed under: Homo sapiens (human)
Lineage: Eukaryota; Metazoa; Chordata; Mammalia; Primates; Hominidae
Description: long non-coding RNA NONHSAT165882.1
Source: RNAcentral